GGUUGGGACUGGACCUUAAUUUUUGCAUUGAUUUGGUGCAAUUUUAAAGUGCAAGCAGGCAUCUCAGCCCACCUACUUUCUUAUGAUCAACAGUCUAUUUUAAGUUAUUUGUUACAUGGCUGCUAUCAUGGUGUGACAUUUCUAAAUGCUAUGAGAUAAGUAACAUAGAAAUUGUUUUUUAUGUUCUUUCAUGCUUUUGUUGGUUUUCAAGUUUGGGCAACUGAUGUUGGAAUAAGCUGCUUAUUGUUUCUCUUCUUGUAUUGAAGAAUAGGUAUGGGACUGCAUUACUGGGUCUUGCCUAUAUAUGCCGAAGGGCGAUGAUCAAAUUUCAGUGAGGCAUAUUCAGGUAUGGGACUACAUUACUAGGUCUUGCCUAUAUACGUCGGGUGGUGAUGAUCAAAUUUUAGUGGGGCAUAUUCAGUUUUGCAGAUACUUUCAAUGAGAAAAUAAAUCACAAAGGAGUGUCAGACAAUUUUCACCAAACUUAGCCGCGAAGAUGAGGCCACCCAUAUGUUGUCGACCUCGCUGGAUCUUUGUCAUGUUGCUUUCUACAGAUACAUCAUGAUUGGCACAAAUGUGUGUUUCUCAUCUUGUCAGCAAUCCCCUUUUACCUGUGGUUUUUAUUUAAACAAUUGAUGUCUGCGGUUGUAUUGUGAGCCAAGACCUAUUUGUUAUCAACUUGGUAAUUGUUAAGAAGGGUGAGAAAAUCUGCCUGGUUUGACUGACACUGAGAAGCCAAGGAUGAGGGGUCCCAAGAGGGCCUCCAAGAUGAGGAAGCUUUUCAACCUUUCCAAGGAUGAUGUACACAAGCAAGAAGGUGAGCAAGGCACCUAAGAUUCAGUGGCUUAUGACCCCGUGACCCUUCAGAGGAAGCGCGCUAGAAUCACUGAUAAGAAGAAGAAGAUCGCUAAGGAGUCUGAGGCUGCCGAGUACCAAAAUCUUCUUGCCAGAGGCUAAAGGAAAAAAGAGACCGCUGCAACGAGAGCUUGGCAAAGAUGAGGUCUAAGCCUUCUGUCGCUGCCACCUCUGCUUAAGAAUAUUUAGUGCUUUGAGAUGUUUUCAAGGCCUAUCUUGUUACAGCUUAAGCACCUUAUGAUGCCCUAGUUGUGUUGCAACUGCCCUGUAAUUGACAGAUUUGUAUUUGAUGCUCAGGAUGUAGAGAGUAGGUUCCUAAUUAUGACCAUGUACUAAAUUAUAUAUCUGUGUCUAAGUUAUAGUACAAACAAAAUAAAUUUAGCGCAACCAGCUUGCAGAAAAAA
This is a long non-coding RNA of Zea mays, 1259 nucleotides long. RefSeq lists it as uncharacterized. The record is from RefSeq and is a predicted model, not a curated record. The transcript has 5 exons. NCBI's taxonomy places the organism in Eukaryota, Viridiplantae, Streptophyta, Magnoliopsida, Poales, Poaceae.